CAUCAAAGAGCAGACAAGUGUUUGUUCUGCUUUGUCGAUCAGCUUCACAGCGUGCGCCCGUUUGCUGCGGAGCUGGGCCAGGUUUGUCUGACCGGUCACCACCGUGCCUGGUGCCAUGUGCAGGAGGUUUCACCCACUUUUCUUUGUCUAGAAAUGCUGCAAGGCAUUAAGGAGAACAGAGCUGCUGCAGCAAUAGGCUGACGCACAGCCUACGUGAAACUUUCCAUUAGAAACACGUUUCUAAAAUAAUUACCCUAUUAGUUCAGGAAGGGACAAGAAAUGACUUACACAUGGUUCCCACGUAAACACUCCAUCCCUGGUCCACACCUGCUCCUGCCUGGCUCUUCCCCCUCUCCCACCUUCCUCUUCCUCUGCCAAAGGAUGAAAGCUUGGGACUGAGGGAAGGGGGCUGGAAGUUUGCAAGCUGGGGAUCCCAUUUGUCACCUCCAGCUUUCCCCAUGCAUACUCAAUGGUUGCUGGAGUGGGGUAGGGAUGUUGGCGGUGAAUCACCCUGUGAAGAAGAUCCUCCCCGUGCCACGGGGCUGCUCAGCUACAAAGAGAAGUGUACUUCACCCUUCCGUCUGCCCUCCCCAGCGCCGCCGGAGAGCUGAGAGUCGGCGUUGUUGGCCUUCCUCCCCCAGCAGCGGGGAAUGUGUGAGCUGGACAGGCUGAGUAAAAAUGACCUAAUGCAGAAAAGAAUCAGAGAAUGAGCAAUGAGAGAGAGGGUUAUAACAAUGCUUCCCGUAUGAGUUAGCAGCACCCAGGGGACUCCCACAGCCGCUGGAUUUCCUGUCCUGGCAGCAGCCCAGCCUGGCUUAUUUUGCUUCCUUGACAGACAGCAUCUGAGUCUGUUGUUAUUUUUACUUCAGAAGUGUGUUAUUUUCUCUUUUUUUCGCUUCCCUGGAUUUCUGCAGGAAUGACACCACGAAUGCCAGCCCUGGAGCUCAGCAGCAUUUGUUCUCCCAGCCCCAAGGCAAGGACAUACACCUGGUGGGCAUCACUGCUUGCUGCUCCUCUGGGCAGGACAACAUCCCACGAAGGACACCACUGAGCCCCCCGGGGUCACAGCUGAACUUCAUUCAUAGAUCACAGGUGACCCCAACACCCUUCUCUGGAGGCCUCAGCUGAUGAGGCACUGAGCUGCGGGGUGUUUGAAGGGCGAGGAUCCAUCACCUGUAACAGGUUCUUCUGAGAUGCAUCUUUCCACCAUGUGCAAGCAAAGGGCAGUGCCAGUUCCAGGAGAACACACACCUGGUAUCUCCACCUCCCACCCCAGCCCAGCUUCUCCCAGAGAUCAGUGCAUCUCUGAAGCACGUGGGGACAGUGUUUGCAGAGUGACUCACACCAACCUGACGUGCUGGUAAUAAAUUCUGUUACAGCAAUAACCAAACUUCUACUGCUAUUGCAGGGCUAUUUCUGUCUUCACCAGGGAGUGAUCCCAGGUGCUCACAUCUCCAUCUUUUGCAUGCUGUCACCUCUGUCCUCGCUGUGACUGUCUGAGGCAGCUGGGAGUUGAUGAUGUAAACCUUGGCACCUGGUCCCUAACCCACGUGUCCCAGUGCUGCCCCAGCCCUCGCUGUCUGCCCUGAGGAAUAGGCUCACAUCCAGCACUCAACCAACGGGGCUGUGACACCGGGUGCUCCUGGGCAUCACCCAGCCACAGGAAGGGACUGCAUGGCUCAUGGCAUCCUUGGCAGCAAGAAGGCACCUUAAGGUUCCACAAAAUGCCCCAUGCAGACCCCUGAAGCCCAGAAGGAAGAAGAGGAUAUGAAGGCUUUUGGGAUGGGGAGGAAGAGGAGGGUCCAGCUUGGAGGUACCUGUGCCCUACAGGAGAUAUGGGCACAGGGUGGUUCCUGGGACUGUGGAGGCAUCCUGGGCCACGUGCUGGGGCUUAAACCAGCCAGGACAAGCUGCCUGGGCAGCAGGGACCAGAGGGCACCCUUACAUCAGAUGAGGCUGGCAGUGCUCAGAGGACACUGUGUUGAGCCAUCAGGCACCAGCAGCUCCAGCAACUGGCCAGGGAAGGGACUAUACCUGCCAUGGGGAGCUGUGCCUGUGGGUUAGGGGGCAGCCACACCAUCCCCAUCUCACUGCCAGCAGCCCCCACACCACACAGAUGGAUGACUUUGUGAGCCACCCAACAGCUCUGCAUGGCCCCGUGAUGCCAUGAGCACAAUGAACCACCCAACCCUGACCACAAGCAGCCCCAGGGAUGGGCACAAGACAUUUCAACCACUGAAUGCACAGGAACCAGCCCCUACAGAGCAUUUUCCCUACAGAUCCCAGCUGUUCCCAGCCAAGCAGUGCAACCAGGACCUGACACAGCAACACUGGGCUUUUUGCUGCUCCUUUUGAUGUGUCCCAUGGGGACCCACUGGUACAUGAGGUCAGCCAUAUCUUUGGGCACUUCCUCAUUCACAGGCCCGGCAAAUGCUGUCCCUGGGAACAGUCUGAUUUUGGGCAAAACAUUCUGUGUUUCUGGCCUGAGCCUUUAACCUAGGAGCAUCUGGCAGCUGCUGCAGCAUGCCAGACAGCUCAGCAUUUUGUGGGACCAGGUUUUC
This is a non-coding RNA of Meleagris gallopavo (turkey), 2561 nucleotides long. The record is from RefSeq and is a predicted model, not a curated record. Lineage: Eukaryota; Metazoa; Chordata; Aves; Galliformes; Phasianidae.